RNAcentral lists this long non-coding RNA (249 nucleotides) under Elaeis guineensis (African oil palm). RNAcentral describes it as "long non-coding RNA (EGUI_LNC039271)". The record is from RNAcentral. Lineage: Eukaryota; Viridiplantae; Streptophyta; Magnoliopsida; Arecales; Arecaceae.
ACUCAACAAUGUUGGUCAGAUGGAAGGAUCUCGGUAACUAUAUUAAUCUGCAUAAAAAUAGAAGAAGCAAUAGAAGAAGUUUGGGGUAGAACAUGGGAGCCUUUACUGAAUAUAAAAAAUUAUCUCAAAAAAGUUCAAGAUAAAUUUUGGCAUUAAGAAGAUAUUCUGCAAAAUCUAGGAUAGGACUAUCAGUAUGACGAUCAAGCAACCUUUGAAGAUCGGGCAUUUUUUAUCUUUGAAAAUCUGGCA